RNAcentral lists this long non-coding RNA (212 nucleotides) under Junco hyemalis (dark-eyed junco). Its description in RNAcentral is "lncRNA (ENSJHYG00000017020.1)". Lineage: Eukaryota; Metazoa; Chordata; Aves; Passeriformes; Passerellidae. The record is from RNAcentral.
AGACAGGUUUGGUUUUCUGUUCUUUCCUCUAGAAAAUACUGCUAUAAUCACUACAGAGAUGGAGAGUUCUGCUUAGCUCCCAUCUUUGUAUUCAAAACUGGAAAAAUUACAAGUGCUCGAAGUUUAUCCUGUCCAGUGUUGCAGGACAAGGAGAUGUGGCUGAAAAGGACAGAAGGAAAAGAGAGGAGACCAGCUGACAGAAGGAAACUAGC